Molecule: long non-coding RNA, 811 nt
Organism: Oncorhynchus keta (chum salmon)
Lineage: Eukaryota; Metazoa; Chordata; Actinopteri; Salmoniformes; Salmonidae
Exons: 3
Source: RefSeq, a predicted model, not a curated record
CCUCUUCCUCUAGUCCUGUGGGGUGUUAUAUGUAAUGGUGUACCUCCUCUUCCUCUAGUCCUGUGGGGUGUUAUAUGUAAUGGUGUCCCUCCUCUUCCUCUAGUCCUGUGGGGUGUUAUAUGUAAUGGUGUACCUCCUCUUCCUCUAGUCCUGUGGGGUGUUAUAUGUAAUGGUGUGUCCCUCCUCUUCCUCUAGUCCUGUGGGGUGUUAUAUGUAAUGGUGUGUCCCUCCUCUUCCUCUAGUCCUGUGGGGUGUUAUAUGUAAUGGUGUUUACCUCCUCUUCCUCUAGUCCUGUGGGGUGUUAUAUGUAAUGGUGUUUACCUCCUCUUCCUCUAGUCCUGUGGGGUGUUAUAUGUAAUGGUGUUUACCUCCUCUUCCUCUAGUCCUGUGAGGUGUUAUAUGUAAUGGUGUCCCUCCUCUUCCUCUAGUCCUGUGGGGUGUUAUAUGUAAUGGUGUUUACCUCCUCUUCCUCUAGUCCUGUGGGGUGUUAUAUGUAAUGGUGUCCCUCCUCUUCCUCUAGUCCUGUGAGGUGUUAUAUGUAAUGGUGUUUACCUCCUCUUCCUCUAGUCCUGUGAGGUGUUAUAUGUAAUGGUGUCCCUCCUCUUCCUCUAGUCCUGUGGGGUGUUAUAUGUAAUGGUGUACCUCCUCUUCCUCUAGUCCUGUGGGGUGUUAUAUGUAAUGGUGUCCCUCCUCUUCCUCUAGUCCUGUGAGGUGUUAUAUGUAAUGGUGUUUACCUCCUCUUCCUCUAGUCCUGUGGGGUGUUAUAUGUAAUGGUGUCCCUCCUCUUCCUCUAGUCCUGUGGGGUGUUAUA